This 432-nucleotide ribosomal RNA is filed under the name uncultured bacterium. RNAcentral's name for it is "partial 16S ribosomal RNA". It matches the Rfam family "Bacterial small subunit ribosomal RNA", at positions 29 to 507 of the family's 1533-position model. The record is from RNAcentral.
ACGAACGCUGGCGGCAGGCCUAACACAUGCAAGUCGAGCGAGGACUUCGGUUCUAGCGGCGGACGGGUGAGUAACGCGUGGGAAUGUGCCCUUCUCUACGGAAUAGCCCUGGGAAACUGGGAGUAAUACCGUAUACGCCCUUUUGGGGAAAGAUUUAUCGGAGAAGGAUCAGCCCGCGUUGGAUUAGGUAGUUGGUGGGGUAAUGGCCUACCAAGCCGACGAUCCAUAGCUGGUUUGAGAGGAUGAUCAGCCACACUGGGACUGAGACACGGCCCAGACUCCUACGGGAGGCAGCAGUGGGGAAUCUUAGACAAUGGGGGCAACCCUGAUCUAGCCAUGCCGCGUGAGUGAUGAAGGCCUUAGGGUUGUAAAGCUCUUUCAGCUGGGAAGAUAAUGACGGUACCAGCACAAGAAGCCCCGGCUAACUCCGUG